Molecule: long non-coding RNA, 1756 nt
Filed under: Felis catus (domestic cat)
Lineage: Eukaryota; Metazoa; Chordata; Mammalia; Carnivora; Felidae
Description: lncRNA (ENSFCAG00000047835.1)
Source: RNAcentral
AUAGAACAGAUUGGUGAUUGCCAGAGGUAGGGGGUGGGUAAAACGGGAGGUGGUCAAAAGGUACAAACUCUCAGUCAUAAAAGAAGUACAGCAUGGCGACUAUAGUUAACAACGCUAUAUUGUACACAUUACGACCGUGGAAUGCAUGUAACUCGUUCUGCGAGUGUUCUGCAAGACGAGCAAACAUUUCUAAUAAAUUUUGACUUGAGGGGCACCUGGGUGGCUCAUUAGGUUAAGUGUCAGCUUCGGCUCAGUUCAUGAUUAAUGAGUACCAGACCUGCAUCGGGCUCUGUGCUGACAGCUCAGGGCCUGGAGCCUGCUUCAGAUUCUGUCUCUCCUUCUCUCUUUGCCCCUCUUCCGUUCACAUUCUGUCUCGCUCUCUCUCUCUCAAAAAUAAACAAACAUUAAAAAUCUUAAAAAUUUGAAAAACUAAAAAAAUUUUAACUUGAUAAGCAAGUGAUGUCUUGCAAUGCGAGUAGUAUGUGCCACCAAAUGUCACAUGAUCACAAGUGAGCCAAUGGUUCUUUCUCUCUCUCUCUCUUACUCACUAUGGGAUUGUGGAUUAUGGUCUCCCAGGCUCAGAUGCUCCAUCUCAGGCCACGGUGAUCUUUCAGAAGGUUGGAACGUUCUGACAACUGGCACUAGUGUGUUUUUUGUCACUUCAAAGCCCCUAUGGACAGCCCUUUGUUUUUCCAUACAAGAGUAAGCUUAGGAAUGUUUUGCGUCAUUCUAGGUCAUUGGCUAGGUUCCUUGUUAAAGUUGCGUGAAAAGAGAAAGAUUAAAUUGAGUCAACAGACAGCAGUGAUUCUGUUAGUGAUAGUGAAAGUCGUCCUACACAAUAACCCUCCCAUCUCGUGUCUCCCUCACACCAACCACAAAGGUUUUCAAAGGUUGACACAUGGCUUCUGCCACUACUGACAAAGAACAGCCUUAUCAAGGCAGAAAGAGGUGUCCUUCCCUUCCUGAGACUGCGACACAGUUUAACACCCCAUCUGAACAAGAGCAGCCUGGCCGUGGCGGAAACAAGCGUCUCAAGAAUCUUCAGAGAGUUAUUUAGAUCAGCAGAGUACCUCAACGAGGCCAAACACCCGAGUGUUUAAAAGCCUCUUGGUUUUUAAAGUUUAAACGUUCAUCGCCUAAUGGAUACCACUGCCAUUACUAUAGUGUCAAUGCAAUAAUGAUUCUGCUCACUCCAAGUGCAGGAGUUUGAUAAGAAAGUCCUAAUAUCCAGCUUCAAAACCAUUGCAUCAAAACAAGUUACUCAAAGCAAGUUCAAAUCACAAACAAUUUUGUUCAAAAUAAGCUUUCGAAACAUGGAUUUGAAAUCAUAACAAGUCAAUCCACAGCAGUAUGAACAUAGAUUUUCAAGGACUUAGGGAAAAAUUGGGAAAUAAGACAAAUGGAUUUGUAAAACUGACAUUCAAACAAAAAGGUGAGGCAUUUUAAAAUCACCCCAAUAGUAGGUGCACAUUUCAUUGUGCAACAUUUGUUGAUUUGUCUGAGAUUUUAAUAUUUAUCAGUUCUAAGGACCAGUCCAGAGAAUAGUUUUCCUAUUGUCAUUUUAAUUUUUUUUAAUUUUUUAUGUUAAUUUAUUUUUUUAGAGAGUGAGAGGCAGAAUGGGAGCAGGGGAGGGGCAAAGAGAGGAGACAUUGACUCAGAAACAGGCUCCAGCUCCAAGCAGUCAGCACCGAGCCCUAGGCAGGGCUCAAGCCCCAACCCUUGAGAUCAAGACCUGAGGGGCAGUCUGAGGCUUAAC